UUGUUGACAGUUUCAAAC
Molecule: small nuclear RNA, 18 nt
Filed under: Arabidopsis thaliana (thale cress)
Lineage: Eukaryota; Viridiplantae; Streptophyta; Magnoliopsida; Brassicales; Brassicaceae
Description: snRNA_16788
Source: RNAcentral